Molecule: RNA transcript, 2139 nt
Organism: Oncorhynchus kisutch (coho salmon)
Lineage: Eukaryota; Metazoa; Chordata; Actinopteri; Salmoniformes; Salmonidae
Gene: egfl7
Gene name: EGF-like-domain, multiple 7
Exons: 9
Source: RefSeq, a predicted model, not a curated record
CAUUUCAUUUCUCUCCAUUCGGUUCACGGGGAGCAUCUAAACAUUAAGCGUUGAGGUUUAAUUCUAAGAAAAAACCCGUAGGGACGAGCUAAAAAUAAAUUGCAACGAUGGAAGAGUCCACUAAACUGGCUGUCAAGUGGUCGGAGUUUGUUCCCAUGGCAGCAUCGGCUCUGCGUGCGCGAGACGCACCACCAUAUGACCUCAUACUGAGGGGGUAGUUGGCAUCCUCCUCCUAGAAGUCUAAAACAAGGCUCUAACAUCAGAGAGAGAGACACAGCCACAGCCCUUCUCCCCUUCCCCUCAUCCUCCUUUCUUCUCCCAUUGGACAGAGAGAGAGAGAGAGAGAGGGAAAGAGCGAGUGAAAGUGAGAAAGAAGAGGGAGACAUGUACCAAACACUCCUCCUCUCCUCCUCGCUCUUCAUCCUCCAUGUGACGGCCACUCCACAGUUCCACGGUCACCACGGGAGGAGGGUGUGUGGCAGAGAUAUUCAUCACAGCAGUGUCAUCAAGACGACCGAGUCGUUCGUCCAGCCCGUUCACAAACCUUACAUCACCCUAUGUCAGGGGCACCGCCUCUGUAGCACCUACAAGACAGUGUACAGGGUGGCGUACCGUCAGGUGACCAGAGCAGUGCCAGUCUCACACUCUUACCCAGAAUGCUGCCCGGGUUGGCGACGACUCCACUCACACAACUGUAACCAAGCGGUGUGUGGCCAGUCCUGUGUGAACGGAGGAACAUGUUUGAGACCCAACCACUGCGCCUGUCCUCUGGGAUGGAUGGGUCGUCACUGCCAAACAGAUGUGGAUGAGUGCAGUGAGCAGCAGCCCUGUUCUCAUCAGUGUGUGAACAUGGCAGGCAGCUACCACUGUGUGUGUAGAGAGGGCUACAGGCUGGCAGGAGACACACACUCCUGUGAGAACCUUCCUCCUCCUGCCUCUUCCACCCACCCCAGUCAAGAAGCAGCAAACGAUCACAGGCCCCCCUCCAGUGAUGCAGGUACACCUCCACCAUUAUCUUUAUCUGCAGACAUGAUAAUCAAGUGUGUGUGUGUGUGUGUGUGUGUGUGUUUCAGCAAAGCCUCCAAUGGGAGUGAAGAAGAGGACAGACAGGACCACAGCCAGGCUCUUGGUCCAUUAUUACUUUUGGUACGCGCUAUGCCAAACUCUACUCGUACCGUGAGUAAUAAUGCACUGAGACUGGUGCGCACUGCAAAGUGGACCGCAUGCAGUCAACAACCAACAAGGUGGAGGGUAUGGGCUGACUGAGAACGUAACAGAGGAGGUCCAGAGCCUGAAGAACAGAGUAGAGCUGCUGGAGCAGAAGCUCCAGUUGGUCCUGGCCCCUUUCACCAGUCUGUUCCCCAUGUCGCUGGACGAGGGUGUGUCUGAGAAAACCAGCUUCCUGUCCCACUCCUUCCAGCAGCUGGAUCGCAUCAACUCGCUCAGCGAACAGGUCGGCUUCCUCGAGGAACGCCUCGGAACCUGUUCCUGCCAAGAGAAUUAGAAACAACAGGACUGGGUCACCCUCACCAACCAGAUAUCUCCACACAAGUCUGAGUCCACAACACAAUAGGAAUGAAUGCCCCAGCCCAGCGAUAUGGGAGGAUGAGGAUGAACAUUAGCAGAACAUAGGCCUACUCAGUGAUUGUGUAUUCCUGUUCCUAUACCAGCCCAAAGGCUAACUCGAACACUAGCUCUAUGAUGGGCAACCCUGUCAUGUGCUAUGUCAGUGACACAUACAACCCUUUUAAGUGUCCCUUUCCUUCACUCCUAACAGCAUCAUUUCAUGUCAUUGCUGGAUUACGGAGACAUAGAAGAGCAUAUAGCAUCACCACCUGGGACGGUUACAGGGGCCUCAUUCUACCAUUAGCACAUUACCUGAGAGUCGAAGUUCAAACUGCCAUUUUCACUCUGAAGUAUCUGGUUUCCAUGUUUUAGGUUCACAUCAGUCUACUGUCAGAGCCCCCAUGGUGGGGUUCGCAUGGACAUCUGUAUUUAUGUAUUUAAGUUAGAAUUCCUUGUGCUUAUUUCAUAGAGCUACAAUAGUUAGUAGACUUUUUUUUUAACCUUGUUUUGUAACUUUUUGUAAUAAAAUUGAUUAAAUCAAAAAUGUCUGGUAGAGGAUGUGUGUCUGCUCCA